GUUCGACUUUUAUCGUUAGUCCUACCCGCUGAUGCCGGCUCCCAGCGAAGCUGCACCGAAAAUGAACCGCAGUUACUACAGGUCACGUUCUCGGUCGCCAGUAGACUAUGACAGGGACCGCGAUUCAAGCCGCAACCGACGAAGGUCGGACUCUCGGCCUGACAGGCAGAGGUCUCGUGCACCUUCUGACCGGCGUGUGUACGUUGCCAACGUGCCUUUUGAUUGCAAAUGGACUGACAUCAAGGACCUGUUUCGGGAUAAAGUUGGUGAUGUCUCCUACGUCGAGCUGUUUGAAGAUGAGACUGGCAAGUUCCGGGGAUGUGGGAUUGUGGAACUCAAGGACAAAGCGUCGGUGCCAAAGGCAAUUGAAGUGCUUCACAGAUACGAGAUGAAGGGCCGAUUUCUCGUGGUCAAGGAGGAUUUUGACGUUGAACGUGACCGCUUCGGUCGCCCGAUUCCGCGGGGACGAUCUGGUGGUGAUCGCAUGAUGGAUGACCGCGGACGUGAUGACCGUGACGGAUAUGGCCGCGGAGGUGGUGGCGGUGGCGGCGUAGGUUUCAACACUUACGGACUGAGCCCCCAAUUCCUCGACUCUCUCGGAAUUGUGGGACCCCUCUCAAACAGAGUGUUUGUGGCCAAUCUUGAUUACAAGGUGACUGCGAAAAAGCUUCAGGAGGUGUUCAGGAUUGCAGGCCGUGUUUCAAACGUAGACCUCAGGACUGAUAAGGAAGGGAACAGCAAGGGCCACGGAAUUGUUGAGUUUGAACACCCCAUUGAAGCUGUCCAAGCAAUCUCUAUGUUGAACGGUCAGAAGUUGUACAACCGGGCAAUGAGUGUCCGCAUGGACAAAUACAAUGAAGAUCUUGAUGGAGGACUCCCAUCAAAACUUCCCACUGGGCUUCAGGGAAUAGGAAAGGGCCUUGGCGCUGGUGGGAACCCUCUUCAGAUGACUGCUGCCCAGAUGGCCCAGAUGAACAUGACUGGCCCAGUGGGCGGCAUGCCCAUGGGCGGUGGUGUGAACCCUGUGGCAGCGGCUAACAUGGGGCUUGGCGGCCUGGGAGGUAUGGGAGGCAUGGGCCUGGGUGCUGGAGGCCUUGGCGCUGCAGGAACUGGAGGCCUGGCUGCAGCAGGGCUGGGUGGCAUGGGUUCAGCUGGAGGUUUGGGUGGGCUAUCGGACCGCUCUAUGUUGGGCUCUGGCAACCUUAUGGGAGGCGCCAUGGCUUCACCCACAGGGCUGAUGGGUGGCCUGUCCGGGGGCUUGGGCGGCGGAUCCUCGGCCUUGGGUGCUGGCAACGGUGGCGGUCUCGACUACGAUCGCCAUCUUGGUGGGGGUGAUGGCUACCGAAGCCCCCGCUCUUCAGAUGCCAUCAUGGUGCAAAAUCUUCCCAUGGGCUACAGCUGGCAGAACCUGCGUGAUCGCUUCCGGGAAGCUGCUCCUCGCAGCAAGCAGUCCAGUUCGAGGUCCUCCUUUGGUUUUUGAUGCAGGGAGCGUGCGGUACACCGACAUGAAGGGACGUGGUACCGCAAUUGUGCGCUUCAACUCCGAGCGGGACGCUCAGCGGGCUGUUGACAUGAUGAAUGGCAUCCGCCUCGAGAAUCGUCAGAUCGAUGUGCGCCUCUACUGAGCGUCGUGGGUCGUCGUGGGUCGUCGUGUCCUUUGUCAUCGUCAAUCCUUCUGGUCUCCCUUUUCUCUUUUCCACGGGCUCCUCUCUUCUUCUUUUUUUUUCCAUGUCCUCACUGUCAGCGUUUGUCUUCAUCCAGUGUACCUCCGUCAUCCGAAGAGAGAGAAAAAAGAAAGCCUCCGCAACAUUACUCAUGGAUAGUUCCAUUUCCUCCGUUCCACAGCUGUCCAUCCAGGCAAGGUGGCUGCUGGCUCCAAUUAUUACCUGAAGCUGCUGGCCACAUGUGCAUUGCAUGGAGGGGGAAUGGUCACUUCCUCAUUUUUUAGUACUGUUUCUCUUGCUUGUAUAGUCCAAAAACAUCAUUUUCAGCACAGGAUGUGUAAAGAUACUGGUUUUAGAUAUGGUCAUUUUUUUCUGAGCAUUCUCACCUCGCUAGGAUUUAUUUUUCUGGCAUUGUGCUUGUUUAAGUUUGUUUUCUCUUUGCCGAUGGUCGCGGGCUCUGUUAUUUCAGACGCCGUACCAAGACAGCCACCAAUUUGUGCAUUAGGGGUAUAAAUUUCACAAAAUUUGUGAUGCAGCACUACAUCUUUCAUUUGAAUCAUCCAUGAUGCAACUUUUUUUUUAUCCGAUGGGCAGAUAACAAGUGGACAGUGGGCAUUGUUAGGUUUUUUUUUUUCUUUUACCGACAUUCGGUUUCAAAUCAUUAUGAAUUGAUGUUGCCCUAACGAGCGUGUGGUGGCGCAAUGCUUUUAUCCUUGUUCGUCAUUCUUUUUCUUCCUUGUUCAGCAUCCGAGCAAUGGCAUUCAUGGGUGCACCUUCAUAUGUAAUUUUGCACAUGCACCAGGCUGCAACUUCAGUCGGGAAAAGCCUUCACUUCAUGCCACAAUCGAGUAGUCGCAUAUAGCAAGUUGCCAUUUUUUCUUGAUGUGGGCUGCAGUGUGGGCUCUACAAGCUAUAACGAGGCAUGUGGUCACACUUGCCACAAAACCAUCCUUGUUGCUUCUAGAAUAAAGCUUCCUUUGUCUCCGUGUACUACUA
RNAcentral lists this unclassified non-coding RNA (2660 nucleotides) under Rhipicephalus microplus (southern cattle tick). RNAcentral describes it as "myelin expression factor 2-like, transcript variant X3". The record is from RNAcentral. Lineage: Eukaryota; Metazoa; Arthropoda; Arachnida; Ixodida; Ixodidae.